This 497-nucleotide ribosomal RNA is filed under the name uncultured bacterium. RNAcentral describes it as "partial 16S ribosomal RNA". It matches the Rfam family "Bacterial small subunit ribosomal RNA", at positions 28 to 507 of the family's 1533-position model. The record is from RNAcentral.
GAUGAACGCUGGCGGCGUGCCUAAUACAUGCAAGUCGAGCGAACGGACGAGAGGCUUGCUUCUCUGAUGUUAGCGGCGGACGGGUGAGUAACACGUGGAUAACCUACCUAUAAGACUGGGAUAACUUCGGGAAACCGGAGCUAAUACCGGAUAAUAUUUUGAACCGCAUGGUUCAAAAGUGAAAGACGGUCUUGCUGUCACUUAUAGAUGGAUCCGCGCUGCAUUAGCUAGUUGGUAAGGUAACGGCUUACCAAGGCAACGAUGCAUAGCCGACCUGAGAGGGUGAUCGGCCACACUGGAACUGAGACACGGUCCAGACUCCUACGGGAGGCAGCAGUAGGGAAUCUUCCGCAAUGGGCGAAAGCCUGACGGAGCAACGCCGCGUGAGUGAUGAAGGUCUUCGGAUCGUAAAACUCUGUUAUUAGGGAAGAACAUAUGUGUAAGUAACUGUGCACAUCUUGACGGUACCUGAUCAGAAAGCCACGGCUAACUACGUG